UUGAACGCUGGCGGCAGGCCUAACCCCUGCCAGUCGAACGGUAACAGGAAGCAGCUUGCUGCUUCGCUGACGAGUGGCGGACGGGUGAGUAAUGUCUGGGAAGCUGCCUGAUGGAGGGGGAUAACUACUGGAAACGGUAGCUAAUACCGCAUAAUGUCGCAAGACCAAAGAGGGGGACCUUCGGGCCUCUUGCCAUCGGAUGUGCCCAGAUGGGAUUAGCUUGUUGGUGGGGUAACGGCUCACCAAGGCGACGAUCCCUAGCUGGUCUGAGAGGAUGACCAGCCACACUGGGACUGAGACACGGUCCAGACUCCUACGGGAGGCAGCAGUGGGGAAUAUUGCACAAUGGGCGCAAGCCUGAUGCAGCCAUGCCGCGUGUAUGAAGAAGGCCUUCGGGUUGUAAAAUACUUUCAGCGGGGAGGAAGGGAGUAAAGUUAAUACCUUUGCUCAUUGACGUUACCCGCAGAAGAAGCACCGGCUAACUCCGUG
This 489-nucleotide ribosomal RNA is filed under the name uncultured bacterium. Its description in RNAcentral is "partial 16S ribosomal RNA". It matches the Rfam family "Bacterial small subunit ribosomal RNA", at positions 30 to 507 of the family's 1533-position model. The record is from RNAcentral.